Drosophila miranda is the source of this 584-nucleotide long non-coding RNA. RefSeq lists it as uncharacterized. NCBI's taxonomy places the organism in Eukaryota, Metazoa, Arthropoda, Insecta, Diptera, Drosophilidae. The transcript is spliced from 2 exons. The record is from RefSeq and is a predicted model, not a curated record.
UCAGUAGUAGCUCCCAGUGGAUACCGAGUAGAUCUCAACAUGUUUUGGCUGCGCCUUGCUCUUGGUUUUCUAGCCGUUUGGCUUACACUUGUCUCUGUAAAUUCCGAAGAAUCCGAAGAAUCGAACCCGAAGGUUCUGAAGACAUUAAAGAUGCUGGAUGAACGCAAAAGAAUCUGCCUGAAAGGCCCAUCAUAUGGCUAUUGUAAAGGAAAACGCAAGAUGUGGAACUUCAGUUACCGCAACAAGGAAUGCUUGCCGUUUACCUUUUCUAACUGUGGCGGAAACCGAAAUCGUUUCUACAGUUAUGAGGCAUGCAUGGAGUUUUGCAGCGAAAAACACUGGGAAAGCCCAGAUAUAUACGACAUCUUAGAAGAUGGUUACUGAUUUAGCGCUAAUUAUUUUUCUUUCAUUUCAAAGUUAAUAAUGAUUGUCUGAGAAGGAUGCUAUGGGAAUACCUAUUAUGUAGCAAAUGUAUAUUUACAGUGAAGUUUCCACGUAAUAAAUUGGAGUCGGGGGCCACACAGUUGCCCCGACGAGUAAUCCGCUGUUUGACGUGUUGCAAUGGAAACAGAUCCGAAUUAUAA